GAUGAACGCUGGCGGCGUGCCUAAUACAUGCAAGUCGAGCGAACAGACGAGGAGCUUGCUCCUCUGACGUUAGCGGCGGACGGGUGAGUAACACGUGGAUAACCUACCUAUAAGACUGGGAUAACUUCGGGAAACCGGAGCUAAUACCGGAUAAUAUAUUGAACCGCAUGGUUCAAUAGUGAAAGACGGUUUUGCUGUCACUUAUAGAUGGAUCCGCGCCGCAUUAGCUAGUUGGUAAGGUAACGGCUUACCAAGGCAACGAUGCGUAGCCGACCUGAGAGGGGGAUCGGCCACACUGGAACUUAGCCACGGUCCAGACUCCUACGGGAGGCAGCAGUAGGGAAUCUUCCGCAAUGGGCGAAAGCCUGACGGAGCAACGCCGCGUGAGUGAUGAAGGUCUUCGGAUCGUAAAACUCUGUUAUUAGGGAAGAACAAAUGUGUAAGUAACUAUGCACGUCUUGACGGUACCUAAUCAGAAAGCCACGGCUAACUACGUG
RNAcentral lists this ribosomal RNA (497 nucleotides) under uncultured bacterium. Its description in RNAcentral is "partial 16S ribosomal RNA". It matches the Rfam family "Bacterial small subunit ribosomal RNA", at positions 28 to 507 of the family's 1533-position model. The record is from RNAcentral.